GUAGUCUGUGAUGACAACAUUUUCAGUUGGCCUGAAUUAUUUUUGGAAUAUGAGGGCAACUUAAGUCACUACCUCUUCUGAGACAC
This 86-nucleotide small nucleolar RNA is filed under the name Chlamydotis macqueenii (Macqueen's bustard). Its description in RNAcentral is "Chlamydotis undulata macqueenii Small nucleolar RNA SNORD11". It matches the Rfam family "Small nucleolar RNA SNORD11". The record is from Rfam by way of RNAcentral. Lineage: Eukaryota; Metazoa; Chordata; Aves; Otidiformes; Otididae.